UCCACACAAGUGAAGAGCUUCUUCCUCUCUCCUUCCACGCGCUCUCUCCAUCCCAGAAGCUUCUUUUACCGUCGUCGUUCUCUCUAUCGCUCCAUCCACGAUCUCAUCAUUGACCUCAGCAACGGCCACUCGUUGGUCAUCCUCAUCCACUGAUUCAGGAAUAACUACACUCAUCCACCGAUUUAGUUUAAGUCCUUGCAUCUCACGAGCUCUCUUCGUCACUCCAUGAGUCACACGAGCUCUCUCUGCCACUGCCUCGUCAUGUCUGCUCCCUUCAUCGCCAUCGUCGCAGAGCUCUCUCCAUCGCUGCUCUCGUUGUGUCUGCUCCCUUCAUGAAUUUCAGAUGCUGUGCUUGCAAGAGUUACAACAGAGAAGAGGAUGUCAAUGAUCAAAGCCCGGGAAGAAAGUGAGAAAUCAAGAGCAGAGAACAAGAAGCUAAUGAAAACUUAGAUGAAGUGGUGGUUCUUGCUAAAGACCUUCGUAAAAGAUAAUAGUGGAGAAUUUUACGAGAAACACUACCCUCCAUACUUGAAUGAUGAUAUAUGGCGUUUGAAAAAAAUUGCAAAGGAUGGAAAAAUCCACAAGCGGCUCUCUUCCCAUGGAAUUCACACUGUUAAGGAUCUCCUGCAGCUAUACACAACCGAACCAUUUUCAUUAUAUGUGGUAAUAAAUCUUGUUUCUUUUUAUUUUCUUAUGAUUAUGGAAUGUCAUAAAAUACUAAAAAAUUUUUCAUUGAGGUGCAGAAAUGUGGCAGCGUUCCAAUUAAGUCAUGGACAACAAUUACUGCAUGUUUAAGUCAUGAAACAGUAUCUAUGCACAGAUGCAAACUAUGAAAUAGUGUAUACUAAUCCGAAUAGUUCCAAUUUAAUCCUUUUCUCUUCCAAAUAAUUUAGGCGGAGAGAAAGCACAUAUGUUGAAGACUUGUUCAUAGUUCACAUUGUUGGAAUGGACACAAUGGCUUGUGGAUUCAAGAAUGCUGCUAAGUUAAUUGAGGAUGGUUCCCUUGCUCAGCUUGUUAAAAAGCGAUACCAGAUUUUUGAUAAUCUUCAACCUGUGAUAAAGGGCUUUUAGUUUCCAAUUUUCAGGUUAGUAUUGAGCAUCAUAGUCAGCCCUUAACAUGAUUUUGAUAUCUGCAUGAAAGAGCAACUCAACAGAAAAAGUUGUAGAAUGAGAAGAAAAGUUGUUGUAACUGACAGGAGAUAACUUUUUUAAGACUGCUAGCUAUACAAUUAAGGCAGUAUGUGCAAAAUCAUAUGAAGAUACCACCCAGAAACUUAAGAACAUCGAGGCUCAGAUUGUAAGAAAGAGGAAUGAGCUACGCCAAUUUAAAGCAGAAUAUAGAAAGAUUACUAUUUGCUUUACUCAACCGUGGCUUAUGGUUUAUCUCGAGAUCCUUACAGUGUUUUAUCUCUUAAUGAUUUUCAGGCAUUGGCUCGCUACCAGGAAGUGACAGAGAGAUAUGCAAAAGAAAAACAAUUUGUGCUGUAAAUUUAGAGGAUUCUUCUUGGAAGGUAUGAGCUUUACAAUAUUUACAUGAUUUUCAUAUGUAGUAAUGUGCUGUUUUUCAGGCCUGGUGUGUGGGGAAAUAAAGAUGGUCAAGUGCAGUAAUCCAAAUUCUUGUAAACUCGUAUAACUCAUCUAAGAUGAACCAACAAGUUCAAGCUGAAGUAGCAAUGCUUUCUGAAACGGUAUAAAUUUUUCAUAACUUAAUGAUAAAUACCACAGUUGAUCCAAAAUUUACUGUAAGAUAUUCUUUCUUUUAUGUACAAAUGAGAUUUGAAUGAGUUCAUGUAGGAAAGUAUUUCCCAAGACAAGAAGAGAAGUCAUGUUGGCUUUGUAUUUAAAAGACUCCUCAACACUCUUGUCUGUUUCAUUUGUUGUUUUCUCUUUUAUUUAGUACACUCUCUCUAACAUGAAAGUGAAAGUGCAUAAACUGUUUUCUUUUAUGUAAUGGCUACAGAAUUCUGUUUCCAAUGUUUUGGAAUCUAAGUUCAUUUACCACUUAUUGAUGGCUGUGAGAAGUUGAGAACGAUUCCAGAAGG
RNA transcript from Arachis duranensis, 2042 nucleotides. It is a transcript of the gene named chaperone protein dnaJ 15, with no coding region annotated. The transcript has 9 exons. NCBI's taxonomy places the organism in Eukaryota, Viridiplantae, Streptophyta, Magnoliopsida, Fabales, Fabaceae. The record is from RefSeq and is a predicted model, not a curated record.